RNAcentral lists this ribosomal RNA (265 nucleotides) under uncultured bacterium. Its description in RNAcentral is "partial 16S ribosomal RNA". It matches the Rfam family "Bacterial small subunit ribosomal RNA", at positions 29 to 319 of the family's 1533-position model. The record is from RNAcentral.
AGCGAACGCUGGCGGCAGGCCUAAUACAUGCAAGUCGAACGGAUCCUUCGGGAUUAGUGGCGGACGGGUGAGUAACACGUGGGAACGUGCCCUUUGGUUCGGAACAACUCAGGGAAACUUGAGCUAAUACCGGAUAAGCCCUUCGGGGAAGGAUUAUUCGCCAUUGGAGCGGCCCGCCGUCUGAUUAGCUAGUUGGUGGGGUAAAGGACCGUACCAAGGCGACGAUCAGUAGCUGGUCUGAGAGGAUGAUCAGCCACACUGGGAC